Molecule: transfer RNA, 72 nt
Filed under: Salmonella enterica
Lineage: Bacteria; Pseudomonadati; Pseudomonadota; Gammaproteobacteria; Enterobacterales; Enterobacteriaceae
Also listed under: 1 other name
Description: tRNA-Met
Rfam family: tRNA
About the family: Transfer RNA (tRNA) molecules are approximately 80 nucleotides in length. Their secondary structure includes four short double-helical elements and three loops (D, anti-codon, and T loops). Further hydrogen bonds mediate the characteristic L-shaped molecular structure. tRNAs have two regions of fundamental functional importance: the anti-codon, which is responsible for specific mRNA codon recognition, and the 3' end, to which the tRNAs corresponding amino acid is attached (by aminoacyl-tRNA synthetases). tRNAs cope with the degeneracy of the genetic code in two manners: having more than one tRNA (with a specific anti-codon) for a particular amino acid; and 'wobble' base-pairing, i.e. permitting non-standard base-pairing at the 3rd anti-codon position.
Source: RNAcentral
CUACGUAGCUCAGUUGGUUAGAGCACAUCACUCAUAAUGAUGGGGUCACAGGUUCGAAUCCCGUCGUAGCCA